Molecule: ribosomal RNA, 253 nt
Filed under: uncultured bacterium
Lineage: Bacteria
Description: partial 16S ribosomal RNA
Rfam family: Bacterial small subunit ribosomal RNA
Source: RNAcentral
UACGUAGGGUGCGAGCGUUGUCCGGAAUUAUUGGGCGUAAAGAGCUUGUAGGCGGUUUGUCGCGUCUGCCGUGAAAUUUCGGGGCUCAACCCCGAACUUGCGGUGGGUACGGGCAGACUAGAGUGUGGUAGGGGAGACUGGAAUUCCUGGUGUAGCGGUGGAAUGCGCAGAUAUCAGGAGGAACACCGGUGGCGAAGGCGGGUCUCUGGGCAGUAACUGACGCUGAGGAGCGAAAGCGUGGGGAGCGAACAGG